CUCUUGGCACAUAUUGGAAACGUUCACCAGAACUACCUGGUUUGAAAAGGCAUCUGCCUAAGGAUGCUGUUCUAGGCACUGUUUUAAUACAUUUUUCCUUGAAGUUUUCCUUCCCUCUAUUUCCUUGUAUUUAUGUAUUUGUAAAAUGACAUCAAAGACGGAGCCUUUCUUAGGUCUUAAUUUCUCUACCAAGUGGUAGCAUCUGAAUAUCCUUAACAAAGGUAUGGAAACCACCGCCUGGGAUUAAAGCAUCAGUGAAGAUGCUGCUUUGGAGAGAUUCAGAUUUUAGAGAAGAAAGGAGGUCAUGAGAGAUCAUUACUUUAUCACUGAACUGGAAUUAUUGGGAGGAAAACCAACUAUAUCCAAGCUACUGGAAGAUGCACAACCACUGAUAAUUAGGAAGAAAUAAAACUGAUAACUAAAUGAAUGUGCAGUUUACACGCAAAGGUAACCUUUUAUUCUUUCCAAUUAGGCUUUCUCCUGUAGGCUUGGCAGAUGAGGCUGUGUUAUAAAUAGAAGUGGUAUUUUGUAGGGUUCUUCAAACUGAUGUGUACAUGAGGUCAAAUUAUAAUCAAG
This 576-nucleotide long non-coding RNA is filed under the name Macaca mulatta (Rhesus monkey). RNAcentral's name for it is "lncRNA (ENSMMUG00000038500.2)". The record is from RNAcentral. Lineage: Eukaryota; Metazoa; Chordata; Mammalia; Primates; Cercopithecidae.